UUUGCCACGUGUUUGUUGCUCGUUUCUGUCGGCAUUGUUAUUAGAAUGACACCGAUCGCUUUCCAUUAUUUUCUAUAACAUAAUAUUCCAAAAUCAUACAAAUUAACGAAUAAAAAUUACUCGUUCUUUAAAAAAGUUUAAUCAAACUAAAAAUUUUAGCACUGCCGAUAUGGCUAACUUAUGUUCGGUUUCUUUACCCAGUUAUUAGUAAAAAAUAAAAACACCUGUUAUAACCGAGGGCAAACAAAUCACGAAAACAAUUACCGAAAAAUACCGGUUUCUUAGAACUAAAAUACCGGUAUCCGUUUUAACCCAUGCCUAUUCCUUGACCGUUACAUCUGUCAGUUCGUCGCCCUUAAUAUCUGUAUUCACUGGCACUCAACAGAAAUACACUUCCGUCCCCAACCCUUAUAGGUGGAGAAGGGCAUCCUGGGUAUUCUGGAUUGCUUCACCUUAUGGAUAGAAGUGUUGUUGAAAAAAAGAAUCUGAACGGGCGAGGAACUUAGCAGGUGUAACACAUCUCGUCUGUUCCAAUGCCCUCAAGAUCGCUCGCAAUUUUGCGUCAAAUACAGUGAAUACUUUAGACAAUCGGAUCUUGAGGCCACGAUCAGCGAAAGCAAAACAGCAUCCAACGAAGUCCCUACUUAGAAUCCUUCAUAAAUACAGCCAUGUAGUUGUUCGCUCAUUUAAAAUAUCCUAAAAUGUGGUAGUAAAAAGGAUACAGGAGUGUGUCCUCUCCUGUGACGUACUAACUCUGUAAAUCUAAAAUUGCUCUGUGCCUGUGCAGUAACCAGCGUGGCAGUCGGUUCCAACCCUGGAUUUGGGAGUGCACUUGCUCCACACUAAGUGACUCCACCACACGUCUCACGGGAAUCACAAACGGCCUUAUGCUCAUUGGCGUUUGGAGAAAAGCUGUUCCAUAGCUGGACGAACAACAGCAUGGCGUGCUGGUGAAGUGGGAGCAGUGAGGACCUUAUAUGCCAUGAGAGUGGCGAUGAGUGGCGAUUCCCCAGCGUUAACACAGAGAUUAGAUAUGCAGCGGUUCCUUAACCAGCCGUGGUCGGCCUGAUCCCCUCAUGGUGUAUAGGAUCAAUGAUCUUCAACAGAGAGAUAUCGCUGAUACGUGCAGUGCAGAGCCAUAGUCUUGCCGCGAUCACACAAAAGUCGCAUGAGACUGCAGGAGACGCUCCCCGUCCUCUACCGAAGAUCUGUGACCAAGGCACUAAGACUUACGGCGUCACAACCACACUUAAAGACAACCCUCCUUUUUUAUUUAAUUCAUAAUUAUUGUAAUUAAAAUGAAGUUAAACAGUAAUUAAUACGGGAGAUAUUUAUCAUCUGUAUAAAACGCUGAGAUCAUCAUAAAAUUUGUACGACGAUCACUGUAAAGUACAAGAAAGAGGACAAAGAUACUCAUGUGCACUCUAUUAUAAAAGGAACAAACAAUGGCGAAAUCAGCUAUUCCGUCUUCAUUCGCAUUCGCUGAUGUGAUGAGAUUUAACGUGAGUUGUCACACUGUAUUUUGUAGAUAGGUCCGUGGAGCAGUUAAAGUGAGAGUUUCAUUUUAACCUGAUUUUUUACUUCAGAAUUUCCUUUCUAGUUAUUUAUAGGCGAAUGUCCAGAACCAUUACAAAACUUAAGGUAAUUAAAUUCGGAAGCUUUUCGUUUGGGUUUAGUGUUUAAUUACAGUUGCCAGUUGCGGUAGUAUUAAGUUUCAUUCAUUAAAUACAAUAGCACUUGCAAUCACUUUCAUUUGUCUCAGAAGUCCGAUCAUCUUUACGAACUUCAAAACUCAUACUGUGAAAGUCAGUAUGAACCUGGAGACAGAAUUAAACCAAAUGAAUUGCUUCCAAGCAAACUGUAGGCUGUUAUUAUCCUGAAAGCAACAGUAAAUAAAUGUUUGAGGUUUUUCACUAGCUUAACAAUUUUUUAAAAGAAUAAGUCAAAGAUAACUUUUGGGCCACAGUUGUUACGUUUAUCGUUGCCGCAAGUGAAGUAAAUAGCACACAAUGGUAUUUUACGUGCCAAUUGAGAUCUGAAUUUAUCAAGUCCCUGUUAAAGACAGGAAAUAAAACUCGAAAGCGGUGAGACUAAAGUUGGCGAUCUCAGACGAGGACUGCCAAUAAUAAUAAUAAAAAUAAAGUCUUAAAAAUAUAGAUAUUGUACAAUUUCUUUGUAAAUUUCUAUUCUGUAAUCAUGUAUAUGUCUUAUUUUUCAUGUUUUCAACCCUGAAUGAGGUGAAAGAACCAAACCAACUGAGAGGAAAAGGAAAGAAGAUUAUUCGAAGUACCAAAAUCAAGAAAUAACCGCUGCUCUCGAUCGCAAUCUCGAAGAUGAUGCCUGACCAUCGGAAGAUCACCGUCCGGCAUCCCUGAGGCCUGUCCACUUCCUUCGGCAUCUCUGCUGACCUACCUGUGUUGCUGUACGAAUUCGAGGGUCCUAACGUCGUCUUAUCAGCUGUUCGGCGAGCUGUCGCAGCUCCACCUAUCUCGACGGCUUCGUCAAGAACCACCAGUUCAUCACAAUAAAAAAAAUCUAUAAAAGUUAAUGUAUUCCACGCUAAGGAACUUCUGAAAUUUUGUACAGCUAAUCGAAAACCUACCGUUCUAAAAUGAGCAAAGAUAUUAUCACAUGUAAAGUUUUCACUAUUUUCGAAAUGCAAAGAGACUAUAAAAUUUAGCACGCACCUAAAAUUAGUGCUGUGCUUGUAACGGAAGUGUCUUUAACACCUUGUAGUAACAACAAUAAUCCACGACUAUUGUAAAAUUGUAUUUAUGUAUUCCCGAUAUACACUGAAGAGCCAAAGAAACUGGUACACCUGCCUAAUAUCGUGUACUCCCUCUCCCCCAGCACGCGGAAGUGUCACAACAGGACGUGGCACAGACUAGAGUAACGUCUGAAGUACUGCUGGAGUGUUGGAGGGAAUUGACACCAUGGAUCCUGCAGGGCUGUCCAUAAAUCCGUAAGAGUACGAUGGGGUAGAGAUCUCUUAUGAACAGCACGUUGCAAGACAGCCCAGAUAUGCUCAAUAAUGUUCUGUCUGGGGAUUUUGCUAGCAAGCGGAAGUAUUUAAACUCAGAAGAGUGUUUCUGGGGCCUCUCUAUAGCAAUUCCGGAUGUGUGGGCUGUCGCAUUGUCCUGCUGGAAUUCCCCACGUCCGUCGGAAUGCCCAAUGGACAUGAAUGGAUGCAGGUGACCAGUCAGAAUGCUUUCGUUUGUGUCACGUGUCCGCGUCGUAUCCAGACAUAUCAGAGGCCCCAUAUCACUCCAACUGCACACGCCGCAAACCAUUACAGAACCUCCACCAGCAUGAACAGUCCUUUCCUGACAUGCAGGGUCCAUGGAUUCAUGAAGUUGUCUCCACACCCGUACACGUUCAUCCCCUCUAGACAAUUUGAAACGAGACCCGUACAACCAGGCAACAUGUUUCCAGUCAUCAACAGUCCAUUGUCGAUGUUGACGGGUCCAGGCAAGGCGUAAAACUUUGUGUCGUGCAGUCAUGAAGAGUACACGAGUGGGCUCCGGCUGCGAAAGCCCAUAUCGAUGAUGUUUCGUUGACCCUUGUUCAAGGCCCAGCAUUGAAAUCUGCAGCAAUUUGUGUAAGCGCUGCACUUCUGUGACGUUGAAAGGUUAUGCUCCCGUUCUUACAGGAUCUUUUUCAGGCCGCAGGUUUGAUGUUUUAUCGAAUUCCUGACAUUCACGGUACACUCGUGAAAUGAUCGUACGAGAAUAUCCACAGUUCAUCGCUACCUCGGAUAUGCUGUGUUCCAUCGCCCGUUCGCUGACUAUAACACGACGUUCAAACUCACUUAAAUCUUGAUAACCUUCCAUUGUAGCAACAAUAACCGAUCUAACAACUGCGCCAGACCUUUGACGCCUUAUAUAGGCGUUGCGACCACAGCGCCGCAUUCUGCCUGUUUACAUAUCUCAGUACUUGAGUACGAAUGCCUAUACCAGUUUCUUUGGCGCUUCUGUAUAUUUUGUAACACUAUAUGCACAUCAGAUGCAAAUGUCAAUUUAAACUAACUACUAGAGACUGUACGUCCAUCCCUGCUUUUUGGAUGCCCCUUUUUCACAGAGUGAACCGCGCCUGAAGAAGUGGACGACUAAAAUUGUCGGGGCGCAAGUUGUAAAACCGACUUCAGUGAAGAGGCGCAAUCUAACACUUCAUAAGGCAAUAUAAAUAAUUUCAGUAUCCUCAGUUGAUCUGAAGCCGUAAACAGUCACUUGAGGCAAAAUGUAAUCACACCGCAACAUUUAUCUACUGAAAAUACUUGUUAAUGUCAGUGUAACACUCUUGACCAACUAACACUCAAAUGUUAAAUGAAACUAAUUUCAUGUUGUAAGUUGUUCUCAGAUGCGAAGAGUCACUCGGAGCAAAAAAUUCAAAGGGGGCAUGUAAGGUGUUGAAGACAUAUUUGAAGACAUUUCCCCCCUUCUUUUCUUUCAAGUCUUAGUUAUUGUAAUUAAUAUGAAUUUAAACAAUAAUUAAUAUGUGAAAUAUUUGUCGUCUGUAAAAAAGGUAGCGACCAUCAUAAACACUGUACGACGAUUACAGUGAAGCACAAGAAAGAGGACAAGAACACUCUUGUGUCCUAUAAUAAAAGGAACGCAUUUUCAUUCGCGUUCGUUGGUCUGGAUGGGAUUUAACAUGAGUUGUCGUAUUAUAUUUUGUAUCUAGCUGUAUGGAGCGAUUAAAGUGAAAGCGUUAAUUGUUG
This is a long non-coding RNA of Schistocerca gregaria, 4717 nucleotides long. RefSeq lists it as uncharacterized. NCBI's taxonomy places the organism in Eukaryota, Metazoa, Arthropoda, Insecta, Orthoptera, Acrididae. The transcript is spliced from 2 exons. The record is from RefSeq and is a predicted model, not a curated record.